This is a non-coding RNA of Coffea arabica (coffee), 459 nucleotides long. Lineage: Eukaryota; Viridiplantae; Streptophyta; Magnoliopsida; Gentianales; Rubiaceae. The record is from RefSeq and is a predicted model, not a curated record.
UCUUACCUUCUUCAUGCUUCUCUUUUUCUAGUUCUUUGGAAAUAGUAAGUGGGUUAUCUCGGUAGUACAGAUUUGGUUUCCUUCUCGACAAUUUUGUCACGGGAUUAUAUGCUUCUUUCUUCAGCCUGUUCAAGACUUUCUUUUGCUCUUCUUGAGAUAAUUUGGACCCGUCCUGGGGGCCUUGCACGCUCGGUUGCGGCUGAAAAUUUGGCAAAGCAAUAGCUGCAGGUGGCGAUGGUAUUGUGUUUCUUGUUGUGUCAAUGUUGAAGUAUUGAGUUUGAUUCUGCAAAUGUGGUGGGGCUGGAAAACUGCAAGUCAUUUUAUUAGUUUUCACACACUGAGAUUUCAAAAUUAUGUACCUGAUUUUUUUUUUAUCCAUUCACAAAUUUGAGAUUUCGCAUCGUAUCCAUAAACUGGAAACGAAUGAUACAAACGAAGAAAAUGGUUAUAGGACUAAUC